CAACUUACUUGGCAGGGGCGAUACCAUGAUCACAAAGGUGGUUUUCCCAGGGUGAGGCACAUCCAUUGCACUGCAGGUGUACUGACCCCUGCGAUUUUCCCCAAAUGCAAGAAACUCGACUGCAUAAUUUGUGGUAGUGAGGGAUUGUAUUUGUGCUUUCCCCUG
RNAcentral lists this small nuclear RNA (165 nucleotides) under Chelydra serpentina (North American snapping turtle). RNAcentral describes it as "U1 spliceosomal RNA (ENSCSRG00000013096.1)". It matches the Rfam family "U1 spliceosomal RNA". From Rfam's summary of the family: U1 is a small nuclear RNA (snRNA) component of the spliceosome (involved in pre-mRNA splicing). Its 5' end forms complementary base pairs with the 5' splice junction, thus defining the 5' donor site of an intron. The record is from Rfam by way of RNAcentral. Lineage: Eukaryota; Metazoa; Chordata; Testudines; Chelydridae.